This 410-nucleotide ribosomal RNA is filed under the name uncultured bacterium. RNAcentral's name for it is "partial 16S ribosomal RNA". It matches the Rfam family "Bacterial small subunit ribosomal RNA", at positions 355 to 762 of the family's 1533-position model. The record is from RNAcentral.
UGGGGAAUUUUGGACGAAUUGGGCGAAAGCCUGAUCCAGCAAUGCCGCGUGUGUGAAGAAGGCCUUCGGGUUGUAAAGCACUUUUGUCCGGAAAGAAAUCCUUGGCUCUAAUACAGUCGGGGGAUGACGGUACCGGAAGAAUAAGCACCGGCUAACUACGUGCCAGCAGCCGCGGUAAUACGUAGGGUGCAAGCGUUAAUCGGAAUUACUGGGCGUAAAGCGUGCGCAGGCGGUUUGCUAAGACCGAUGUGAAAUCCCCGGCUCACUGGACUGCAUGGUGACUGGCAGGCUAGAGUAUGGCAGAGGGGGGCAGAAUUCCACGUGUAGCAGUGAAAUGCGUAGAGAUGUGGAGGAAUACCGAUGGCGAAGGCAGCCCCCUGGCAAGUACUGACGCUCAUGCACGAAAGCGU